Molecule: long non-coding RNA, 670 nt
Filed under: Ananas comosus (pineapple)
Lineage: Eukaryota; Viridiplantae; Streptophyta; Magnoliopsida; Poales; Bromeliaceae
Description: long non-coding RNA (ACOM_LNC021258)
Source: RNAcentral
ACUUGGCCACGAUGACUCUUACUAUAUUCCAUGAUAGAGACAUGACGAGCUAGAGAUAGGCCUAUGAGAUUGGUGACAUAUCCCAUGUUAUUAGACAUGAGGACUUGGUACUUGUGACAGAUCGUUUGACUACUUGCCAUUGUGCUCAUUCGCACAUGCUUGUGAGGGUCGCUCCCUACAAGCCGGCACUCCGGAGAUAGCCAUCGCGAUUCAUAUUCGCCGUGCGAGAUUGGGCGCCGAAGUGGAUUGCCGUGGGCCAGGCUCAUUCCUAGGGUAGGGAUGAUGACUACCACGGGGCCAUUAGGCUCGGCACCGGCCAGACAGCCUACGGGUGGGUCUCAGGGCCUUAGACAGCCUUCAGGUGGGUCUCUUCAGAUUUGACUUCGAGCAUUUACUAUGACAUAUGGACAGAUGAUGACUUAGUGUACUGACUGGAGUCUGACUAGAACAGUAAACACUGGCACUUUACUAUUUUGCAUUAUGGACAUCAUGAUAGUUGGAGACUUUUACUACAUACAGAGUUGCUUUCAUACUUAUGCCUUUCAUGCUAAGUAGAAAUAUCAUAUUGUAGUAAGUUACAUUCUACUUACCGUUCGCUUUCAUACGUUUUUAGACACUGACCCUUUCUUUGUAGCUUGGGCCUUGUGGUGCAUUCACUGAAGUCAGUAAU